This 1231-nucleotide unclassified non-coding RNA is filed under the name Drosophila mojavensis. RNAcentral's name for it is "GI12963". The record is from RNAcentral. Lineage: Eukaryota; Metazoa; Arthropoda; Insecta; Diptera; Drosophilidae.
CUCCAAGUCAUGACGUCACACAAAGAGUUUGUUUUUCCCUAAUCAGUGAAUCAUCCAGCAAGCAAAAAUUAUAGUAAAUAGUAGAUACGGAAAUUAGCUACAGGUGACAAGAUGUUCUCCAGUGGCCCCAACUAUAACAAGCUUAAGACGAAUCUACGCUUAGCGCAGAAUCGUCUCAAAUUGUUGGAAAAAAAGAAGGCGGAGCUGACACAGAAGUCCCGCAAGGAGAUCGCCGAUUACCUCGCGACGGGUAAAAUAGAAAGGGCACGCAUUAGAGUGGAGCAUAUUAUACGCGAGGACUACCUGGUGGAGGCCAUGGAAAUUGUUGAGAUGUACUGCGAUCUGUUGCUUGCUCGCUUUGGCCUGAUCCAGCAAAUGAAAGAACUGGAUGCUGGCAUAGCCGAGCCUGUGUCCAGUUUGGUGUGGGUCUGUCCCCGUUUGCAGAGCGAUAUUGGCGAAUUGAAAAUCAUCUCCGACAUCUUCAUCCAAAAGUAUGGGCCAGAGUUUGCAGAGCAUGCACGGACUGCCACUGGCGAGCAUUACGUUUCAGAGAAACUGAUGCAUAAGCUGACACUGCAGGCACCGCCCAAGUUGCUCGUGGAGAACUACUUGAUAGCCAUUGCCAAGAACUACAACAUUGAAUACGAGCCAGAUCCACAAGUAAUGCAGGAGCAAGAGAAGCCCGAUCAGCAGCAGCAUCAUCUGAUCGAUUUGUCAGACCGUAAUAAUCUAAGUGGCGGAGGCGGUGCCCCUGCACCACCUCAAAUGGGCUUCAUUGGCUAUCCGCCAAUGCCACAGCUGCCAGACAUGCCAGCGCCUCCCAGCAGCAAGCCAUUCAAUUAUCCACCCUUCGGUGGUAGUGGUGGUGCUGGUGGAAGUGGAGGUGGAGGUGGAGGAGGGGCAUGUGCCGCUGCAGGUGCAGUGCAGCCACCGCCUCCAUUCGCAUAUAAUAUACCGCCCAAUCAGCCGCCACCAACGACUUCCGCGCAGGGCAAAUGCGCUGAGCAAAAGGAUUUGAAUACGAAUUUCAUCAAUCACGAAAAUAUAACUAAGAAUGAGCAAUCGGAUGGCUCUGGCAGUCCGGAUGAAAAUGUUUUGAGUAAUCAAUUGUAAUGAGUCAUGUCAUGGUCGUGGUAUCUGCUUUUUACUCUUCCUGCUUGUGAUAUAUCGCCCCAAACCGCAUAACGAUCCACCGCCACGUUACUCCUCGAUUAAUCCUGUUAAUUUGCAG